GCAACGCCGCGUGAGGGACGACGGCCUUCGGGUUGUAAACCUCUUUUAGUAGGGAAGAAGCGAAAGUGACGGUACCUGCAGAAAAAGCACCGGCUAACUACGUGCCAGCAGCCGCGGUAAUACGUAGGGUGCAAGCGUUGUCCGGAAUUAUUGGGCGUAAAGAGCUCGUAGGCGGUUUGUCGCGUCUGCUGUGAAAUCCGGAGGCUCAACCUCCGGCCUGCAGUGGGUACGGGCAGACUAGAGUGCGGUAGGGGAGAUUGGAAUUCCUGGUGUAGCGGUGGAAUGCGCAGAUAUCAGGAGGAACACCAAUGGCGAAGGCAGAUCUCUGGGCCGUAACUGACGCUGAGGAGCGAAAGCAUGGGGAGCGAACAGGAUUAGAUACCCUGGUAGUCCAUGCCGUAAACGUUGGGAACUAGGCGUAGGGUCCAUUCCACGGAUUCUGUGCCGCAGCUAACGCAUUAAGUUCCCCGCCUGGGGAGUACGGCCGCAAGGCUAAAACUCAAAGGAAUUGACGGGGGCCCGCACAAGCGGCGGAGCAUG
This 540-nucleotide ribosomal RNA is filed under the name uncultured bacterium. RNAcentral describes it as "bacterial SSU rRNA". It matches the Rfam family "Bacterial small subunit ribosomal RNA", at positions 391 to 941 of the family's 1533-position model. The record is from RNAcentral.